RNAcentral lists this ribosomal RNA (497 nucleotides) under uncultured bacterium. RNAcentral's name for it is "partial 16S ribosomal RNA". It matches the Rfam family "Bacterial small subunit ribosomal RNA", at positions 28 to 507 of the family's 1533-position model. The record is from RNAcentral.
GACGAACGCUGGCGGCGUGCCUAAUACAUGCAAGUUGAGCGCUGAAGGUUGGUACUUGUACCACCUGGAUGAGCAGCGAACGGGUGAGUAACGCGUGGGGAAUCUGCCUUUGAGCGGGGGACAACAUUUGGAAACGAAUGCUAAUACCGCAUAAAAACUUUAAACACAAGUUUUAAGUUUGAAAGAUGCAAUUGCAUCACUCAAAGAUGAUCCCGCGUUGUGUUAGCUAGUUGGUGAGGUAAAGGCUCAACAAGGCGAUGAUACAUAGCCGACCUGAGAGGGUGAUCGGCCACAUUGGGACUGAGACACGGCCCAAACUCCUACGGGAGGCAGCAGGAGGGAAUCUUCGGCAAUGGACGAAAGUCUUACCGAGCAAAGCCGCGUGAGUGAAGAAGGUUCUCGGAUCGUAAAACUCUGUUGGUAGAGAAGAACGUUGGUGCGAGUGGAAAGCUCAUCAAGUGACGGUAACUAACCAGAAAGGGACGGCUAACUACGUG